UACGUAGGCAGCGAGCGUUGUUCGGAGUUACUGGGCGUAAAGGGUGUGUAGGCGGUUGUUUAAGUUUGGUGUGAAAUCUCCCGGCUCAACUGGGAGGGUGCGCCGAAUACUGAAUGACUUGGAGUGCGGGAGAGGGGAGUGGAAUUCCUGGUGUAGCGGUGAAAUGCGUAGAUAUCAGGAGGAACACCGGUGGUGUAGACGGCUCUCUGGACCGUAACUGACGCUGAGACACGAAAGCGUGGGUAGCAAACAGG
This 254-nucleotide ribosomal RNA is filed under the name uncultured bacterium. RNAcentral's name for it is "partial 16S ribosomal RNA". It matches the Rfam family "Bacterial small subunit ribosomal RNA", at positions 524 to 776 of the family's 1533-position model. The record is from RNAcentral.